Non-coding RNA from Caerostris darwini, 101 nucleotides. The record is from the annotation of a GenBank genome assembly. NCBI's taxonomy places the organism in Eukaryota, Metazoa, Arthropoda, Arachnida, Araneae, Araneidae.
ACGGCCAUACCAUGAUGAAUAUACCGGUUCUCGUUAAAGAAGUCAAGCAUCAUUGGGCGCGGUCAGUACCGGUGACCACCUGGGAACACCGCGUGCCGUUG